AGCGAAAUUUAGUAGCGAAGUAGCUGAUUUCACACUGUCAAGAAAAGUCUCUAUCGAGGUUAAAGGUACCCGUACCGCAAACCGACACAGGUGGGUGAGGAGAGUAUCCUAAGGCCAGCGAGAGAACUGUUGUUAAGGAACUCGGCAAAAUGACCCCGUAACUUAGGGAUAAGGGGUGCCACCAUCAGGUGGCCGCAGAGAAUAGGCCCAAGCGACUGUUUACCAAAAACAUAGGUUUCUGCUAAGUCGCAAGACGAUGUAUAGGAGCUGACGCC
Molecule: ribosomal RNA, 275 nt
Filed under: Clostridioides difficile
Lineage: Bacteria; Bacillati; Bacillota; Clostridia; Peptostreptococcales; Peptostreptococcaceae
Description: partial 23S ribosomal RNA
Rfam family: Bacterial large subunit ribosomal RNA
Source: RNAcentral